AUGUCUGCCGAGGGAAAGCAGAAGUGCUUUUUGAAACAAGACACCCAGCAUCGUAAAUGGUUCUGCUGCAUUUGUUCUUUGCCCCAUCUUGCAGGAAGUAGAUUGUUUCGCAUCCGGGGCAAAGAUUUGGACAUGAAUCUUGCUUCUCUCCCAUCCGGGGAAGCUUCUCCGCUCCUUCCGGCCCAUCCACUCCAUGCCCCUGUGUCACCCCGCUCCUCAAGUCGUGAUGCCUUCCAGCUGCACGAAGAUAAGCCUGUAAAAGAUGGCGAUAAUAUAUUCGCGCUGUCCAUUUCCCCAGCCUCGCCGAAUAAAAGAGAGCAGGAAGCCACUGCAGGGCUACUACGUCAUGUCAGUCAGCCAGGGGUUUAA
This 369-nucleotide ribosomal RNA is filed under the name Triticum aestivum (bread wheat). RNAcentral's name for it is "partial small subunit ribosomal RNA". Lineage: Eukaryota; Viridiplantae; Streptophyta; Magnoliopsida; Poales; Poaceae. The record is from RNAcentral.